Molecule: ribosomal RNA, 825 nt
Filed under: uncultured soil bacterium
Lineage: Bacteria
Description: bacterial SSU rRNA
Rfam family: Bacterial small subunit ribosomal RNA
Source: RNAcentral
AGAGUUUGAUCCUGGCUCAGAACGAACGCUGGCGGCGUGCUUAACACAUGCAAGUCGAGUGCGCGUUUCCGUAGCAAUACGGGGAUGGCGCACGGCGCACGGGUGCGUAACACGUGGGCAAUCUGCCCUUCGAUGGGGAAUAACUCCGGGAAACCGAAGCUAAUUCCGCAUAACAUUCCUUGGACUUCGGUUCGAGGAUUCAAAGCCGUAAGGCGUCGAAGGAGGAGCCCGCGCCCGAUUAGCUAGUUGGUGAGGUAACGGCUCACCAAGGCAAUGAUCGGUAGCUGGUCUGAGAGGAUGGCCAGCCACACUGGAACUGAGACACGGUCCAGACUCCUACGGGAGGCAGCAGUGGGGAAUCUUGCGCAAUGGGCGAAAGCCUGACGCAGCGACGCCGCGUGGGGGAUGAAGCAUCUCGGUGUGUAAACCCCUUUCGACUGGGACGAAUGCCUCGCAAGAGGAGUGACGGUACCAGUAGAAGAAGCCCCGGCUAACUACGUGCCAGCAGCCGCGGUAAGACGUAGGGGGCCAGCGUUGUUCGGAAUUACUGGGUGUAAAGGGUUCGUAGGCGGUGUGGCAAGUCGGGAGUGAAAUCUAUGGGCUUAACUCAUAGGCUGCUUCCGAAACUGCUGUGCUUGAGUGUGGGAGAGGCGCGUGGAAUUGCAGGUGUAGCGGUGAAAUGCGUAGAUAUCUGCAGGAACACCCGUGGUGAAAGCGGCGCGCUGGACCACAACUGACGCUGAGGAACGAAAGCUAGGGGAGCAAACAGGAUUAGAUACCCUGGUAGUCCUAGCCCUAAACGAUCAGGACUUGGGGUGCCACCCG